UAAUAAUCCCCACAUCUAUCGGUACUU
This 27-nucleotide non-coding RNA is filed under the name Rattus norvegicus (Norway rat). The record is from RNAcentral. Lineage: Eukaryota; Metazoa; Chordata; Mammalia; Rodentia; Muridae.